Molecule: long non-coding RNA, 532 nt
Filed under: Salmo salar (Atlantic salmon)
Lineage: Eukaryota; Metazoa; Chordata; Actinopteri; Salmoniformes; Salmonidae
Description: lncRNA (ENSSSAG00000097515.1, ENSSSAG00000106436.1)
Source: RNAcentral
CAGUGAGAUGUUGAUAUCAGGUAGUGUUGGAGUCAGUGAGAUGUUGAUAUCAGGUAGUGUAGGAGUCAGUGAGAUGUUGAUAUCAGGUAUUGUUGGAGUCAGUGGGAUGUUGAUAUCAGGUAGUGUAGGAGACAGUGGGAUGUUGAUGUUGAUAUCAGGUAGUGUAGGAGUCAGUGGGAUACCAUGUUGAUAUCAGGUAGUGUAGGAGUCAGUGGGAUGUUGAUAUCAGGUAGUGUAGGAGUGAGUGGGAUGUUGAUAUCAGGUGAUAUAGGAGUCAGUGAGAUGUUGAUAUCAGGUAGUGUUGGAGACAGUGGGAUGUUGAUGUUGAUAUCAGGUAGUGUAUGAGUCAGUGAGAUGUUGAUAUCAGGUAGUGUUGGAGUCAGUGAGAUGUUGAUAUCAGGUACUGAAGGAGUCAGUGGGAUGUUGAUAUCAGGUAGUGUAAGAGUCAGUGGGAUGUUGAUAUCAGGUAGUGCAGGAGUCAGUGAGAUGUUGAUGUCAGGUAGUGUAGGAGUCAGUGAGAUGUUGAUAUCAG